GAAAUGCGAUAAGUAAUGUGAAUUGCAGAAUUCAGUGAAUCAUCGAAUCUUUGAACGCACCUUGCGCUCCUUGGUAUUCCUAGGAGCAUGCCUGUUUGAGUAUCAUGAAAUCUUCAAAGUAAAUCUUUUGUUAACUCAAUUGGUUUCUACUUUGGUAUUGGAGGUCUUUGCAGCUUCACACCUGCUCCUCUUUGUUCAUUAGCUGGAUCUCAGUGUUAUGCUUGGUUCCACUCGGCGUGAUAAGUUAUCUAUCGCUGAGGACACUGUAAAAGGUGGCCAAGGUAAAUGCAGAUGAACCGCUUCUAAUAGUCCAUUGACUUGGACAAUACUUUUAUGAUCUGAUCUCAAAUCAGGUAGGACUACCCGCUGAACUUAAGC
Molecule: unclassified non-coding RNA, 378 nt
Filed under: plant metagenome
Description: partial contains 5.8S ribosomal RNA, internal transcribed spacer 2, and large subunit ribosomal RNA
Rfam family: 5.8S ribosomal RNA (bases 1-105)
Source: RNAcentral